AGUCGAACGGCAGCACGGAGCUUGCUCUGUGUGGCGAGUGGCGAACGGGUGAGUAAUAUAUCGGAACGUACCCUAGAGUGGGGGAUAACGUAGCGAAAGUUACGCUAAUACCGCAUACGAUCUAAGGAUGAAAGUGGGGGAUCGCAAGACCUCAUGCUCGUGGAGCGGCCGAUAUCUGAUUAGCUAGUUGGUAGGGUAAAAGCCUACCAAGGCAUCGAUCAGUAGCUGGUCUGAGAGGACGACCAGCCACACUGGAACUGAGACACGGUCCAGACUCCUACGGGAGGCAGCAGUGGGGAAUUUUGGACAAUGGGCGAAAGCCUGAUCCAGCAAUGCCGCGUGAGUGAAGAAGGCCUUCGGGUUGUAAAGCUCUUUUGUCAGGGAAGAAACGGUGAGAGCUAAUAUCUCUUGCUAAUGACGGUACCUGAAGAAUAAGCACCGGCUAACUACGUGCCAGCAGCCGCGGUAAUACGUAGGGUGCAAGCGUUAAUCGGAAUUACUGGGCGUAAAGCGUGCGCAGGCGGUUUUGUAAGUCUGAUGUGAAAUCCCCGGGCUCAACCUGGGAAUUGCAUUGGAGACUGCAAGGCUAGAAUCUGGCAGAGGGGGGUAGAAUUCCACGUGUAGCAGUGAAAUGCGUAGAUAUGUGGAGGAACACCGAUGGCGAAGGCAGCCCCCUGGGUCAAGAUUGACGCUCAUGCACGAAAGCGUGGGGAGCAAACAGGAUUAGAUACCCUGGUAGUCCACGCCCUAAACGAUGUCUACUAGUUGUCGGGUCUUAAUUGACUUGGUAACGCAGCUAACGCGUGAAGUAGACCGCCUGGGGAGUACGG
RNAcentral lists this ribosomal RNA (830 nucleotides) under Janthinobacterium sp. RNAcentral's name for it is "bacterial SSU rRNA". It matches the Rfam family "Bacterial small subunit ribosomal RNA", at positions 60 to 885 of the family's 1533-position model. Lineage: Bacteria; Pseudomonadati; Pseudomonadota; Betaproteobacteria; Burkholderiales; Oxalobacteraceae. The record is from RNAcentral.